UAAGGAAUAUUGGACAAUGGUCGCAAGACUGAUCCAGCCAUGCCGCGUGCAGGAAGACGGCCCUAUGGGUUGUAAACUGCUUUUGUACCAGAGAAAACCUAUCUACGUGUAGAUAGCUGAUAGUAUGGUAAGAAUAAGCAUCGGCUAACUUCGUGCCAGCAGCCGCGGUAAGACGAAGGAUGCAAGCGUUAUCCGGAUUCAUUGGGUUUAAAGGGUGCGUAGGCGGGCUUGUAAGUCAGUGGUGAAAUCUCUCAGCUUAACUGAGAAACUGCCAUUGAUACUGCAGGCCUAGAGUAUAGAUGACGUUGGCGGAAUAUGACAUGUAGUGGUGAAAUACUUAGAUAUGUCAUAGAACACCGAUUGCGAAGGCAGCUAACGAAACUAUAACUGACGCUGGGGCACGAAAGUGCGGGGAUCAAACA
Molecule: ribosomal RNA, 422 nt
Filed under: uncultured bacterium
Lineage: Bacteria
Description: bacterial SSU rRNA
Rfam family: Bacterial small subunit ribosomal RNA
Source: RNAcentral